UGGGGAAUAUUGCACAAUGGGCGAAAGCCUGAUGCAGCAACGCCGCGUGAGUGAUGAAGGUCUUCGGAGUGUAAAGCUCUGUCUUUUGGGACGAUAAUGACGGUACCAAAGGAGGAAGCCACGGCUAACUACGUGCCAGCAGCCGCGGUAAUACGUAGGUGGCGAGCGUUGUCCGGAUUUACUGGGCGUAAAGGGUGCGUAGGCGGAUGUUUAAGUGAGAUGUGAAAUACCCGGGCUUAACUUGGGUGCUGCAUUUCAAACUGGAUAUCUAGAGUGCAGGAGAGGAGAAUGGAAUUCCUAGUGUAGCGGUGAAAUGCGUAGAGAUUAGGAAGAACACCAGUGGCGAAGGCGAUUCUCUGGACUGUAACUGACGCUGAGGCACGAAAGCGUGGGUAGCAAACAGGAUUAGAUACCCUGGUAGUCCACGCCGUAAACGAUGAGUACUAGGUGCAGGAGGUAUCGACCCCUUCUGUGCCGCAGUAAACACAUUAAGUACUCCGCCUGGGAAGUACGAUCGCAAGAUU
This 524-nucleotide ribosomal RNA is filed under the name uncultured bacterium. RNAcentral describes it as "partial 16S ribosomal RNA". It matches the Rfam family "Bacterial small subunit ribosomal RNA", at positions 355 to 895 of the family's 1533-position model. The record is from RNAcentral.